Molecule: non-coding RNA, 4169 nt
Organism: Phascolarctos cinereus (koala)
Lineage: Eukaryota; Metazoa; Chordata; Mammalia; Diprotodontia; Phascolarctidae
Source: RefSeq, a predicted model, not a curated record
UGAGAUUCCCUCAGGUGGAAGGGGGGUCACUGGAGGCAGAACACUGGGGUUAACACGUCCAUAGGAUUGAUCCGAGCUAGUGAGGACCUCAGAGAGCAGAUGAGGUUACUGAGGCCUCAGAGGGAAAUGACCUACCCAGGGUGCCGCAGGGAGGAAAUGUCAGUAAAGUCUUGCAGCCUGUUCUCUGGCUCUGUCCUUUACACUGGGUGGUGCUUUUCUUCAGGUGACACUGUUCCAUUUCCUGGCCUCUGUUUGAGUCUGUCCUCCAGUGCCUGUGCCAAGGUUGACCUUGAUUUUUCCUUUUGUCACUGGCUAGUUUGUCCCAAGAAGACUCCCAGGAGAAAAGGCCAAAGGAGAUGGGUUCCCUGGAGGCCCAGCUGGCUGGCCUGAGGCAGGAGCUGGCGGCCGUCAGCCAAAGACAAGCUGCAGUGGCCAAAGAAAUACACCUUUGGCGAGAAAAGAUGGUGGCCCUGUGCAGUGACGUGGCCUGGCCCAUGAGUCAUGAAUGCCUAUCUUUUAGGAAGUGCAUAAGAUCAUGCAGCAGGCCCUGAAACUCUACAGUGAAGAUCACAUUGAACUGGUGGAUUAUGCCCUGGAGUCCUCAGGGGCCAGCAUCCUCAGUAGCCAAAGCUUAGAGACCUAUGGCACCAGGAUGUCUGUUAUCAGUCUGUUUGGCAUAACCUUGUGGUACCAUUUCCAGAUCCAAAGAGCCAUCCACCAGCCAAAUGUCUACCCUGGCAAGUGCUGGGCAUUUCAGGGCUCCCAGGGCUCCACCUCAUUGCUGUCACCUUGGAGCAUGUGCCCAAAGCCCUGUACCUAAUCAGCAAACAUCACCAGCACUCCCAAAGGCUUUGUCAUCUUGGUGAGUACCUGGACCUUGCAGUUCUUUCUAAAACCGAGGAAAGCCCUUUCUUAACAGCAGCGUUUCGAGGUGAGGAAUGGAAGGAUCUGCCCAUCGUGCAGACGGGACAUCGAGUUUCUUCUCUUGACUCUUUGGGGCCAGCCCUUCUGCUCCUCCCCCUGUUCUUAGGAAGGAGCCAGGAAAAGACAAUGACAGCAGCAAGAACAGCCAAGAUUGUAAUUUGUCUUAGAGUUGGGAAGGGAAGGGGAUCACCUUUUCCUACACAGUCAUCUACUGAGAAGAGAGAUGGAACAUCUACGUAAGGUGGAAUUGGGAGAAAAGAUGGAGCUAGAAGAGGUCAAAUAUGCAAGGGAGAGAGGGAGGUAGUUCCCAGGUGCCUGGCCAGCACACCAACUUCAAGAAGAGUUCCCUCAGGUAAGAAGAGCCAGAGGGAGCCCAAGCCACCUUCUCCAUCACAACUGCCCAUGGCAACCAAGGGCUUCUGCCGCUGCCAUGUGUGCAUUUCUUUCCUGCCUCCAUUUUUGAGUGGAGACAUCACUCUUUUGCUUUCUUUUCCCACAAAGGUGAGAAUUUCCUGUCCUUAGCACUAUCUCUCCCCCUUCUACCAUAACCUGGGUUGCUGAUGCCUUCACUCUCUGAGAACAGGAACUAGGGAGGGUCAACAUGAGUCUCAGAGAAGGCCUGGAACACUGAGGCCUGAAGCUGGGCAUGGACAACCCCUCUCAGCCAUGUUUCUCUUUUAACUAGCCCCAGGGCCCAUGGUUCUUAGAGCGAGCCGCAUGGCCCAGCAACAGCGCAGGGAGCCUCUUGGGUGAAAUGCCUGUGAGUGACGAGACAGAUUUAGCUGACUCUUAGCUCCUCUCAUACCUCAUCAUGGUGGUUUAAUUUGGAAAGAGGCCCUCCUUGGCUCAGGGUACCUCUGGCUUUUUUGAAUCCUGAACCCAAAGUUAAAAACAAAACAAAACAAAAGAAAAACAAACAAUAACAACAACAAAAAAAAAACAAAACUCUUCAUCUGUUUAAGGAAUAAGAACAGGAACAGAGGGCUCUGGGUAUCAUUUCUUUUCACCCCAGAAGUCUCCAGGAAAGUCUCAUUCAAAUCCUGUCCUUCCCCUCUCCCUAUCUUUUCCCCCCUUCUUCUUUUUCACUCUCUUAUCUUUGCUUCUCAUGCUUGGUAACCCCUAUGACGCUGAGGAGAAAAUCCAGAAGUGGGAAAUGCCUCUCACCAGCUGCUCACCUGGACAAAGUCACCUAUAACAUCUCUGAAUGCUCCUCAAGAUACUUCUCUGAGGAUGACUGUGCAGGUUGGCUCUUUCACCUGUUCCACUGCUGCUUCAGAAAUACCUGGUACCACCUGACCACAGCUGCCUCCCUGCAGGACCUCUUUGUCUUAAUCAGGUGCCUAGGAGCCAGCCCUGUGGACUCAUGAUCCAUUUGAUGAUCCACUGUGAAUUCUGACAGUUUCUCAAGCCUCUAGCCCUCAACAGAGCUUUCUGAGACCAGAUGUUUGGGGCAUACGAUGCUCUUGCACCUUAGAGCCCAGUGCUGACACCAAGGGAACACAAAGUGACCAGAUGAGGAAUGUCUGAAGGGUGGGAGGUGAGAAAGGGAGUGAAUGGGAGGUGGAGGUCACCAAUCAAAAUGCUAGCAAGGGAGAGAAGGCUAGAAAGAGACUAGGGCUGAAGAAGGACCUAGCGAUGGAAUGGAUGACAUCUUCUCAUAGGCAGACUUCAGUUUCUCACCUAUCCUGGGAAGGCCCAUAGCAAGAGCAGGUCCUGCUCAGAGGUGGGACAAUAACAGCUCCCAAGCAGAAGGUAGAGACAAGGGAAGUGGAGAAAUUUUCAGAUCGGUUUUUGUCUUUGUGGUUUCCAGCAGGUCAUAUUGCAUUUACUUCAUGAAAAAAGCUUUAGAAUAUAAUGAAUGUCAUAAAAAAUUAAGAGUGGCCCUAACAACUGGUAUCAGAGUAAACCUUGGGAUCACUGAUCCUUUCCAAAGGACAAGAGCAACUUUCUGCCCUGGUACAUUUGCUAUAGCAAACCAAUUUACUUUGGAAAUGAGUUUUCCUCCUAGGAUUAAUGCCGGCAUCAUUAUUGGAGGGAAGCUAAAUUAUCUCCCGUCUUCAGGAGAUACUCAAAAGAAAGCAAACAGGCAACAGCAAAGUAGAGUCCUAAAAUGAACACAGACUCCACUUCAGUGCCUGCCGAGUCCCUUAUCCAUCUGCCACACACCUGAAAACCAGUCCCCUUGCUUCAUGGUCAUGCGUUGGACAAGAUAAAACCAUCUCCUGAGCACUCAUUUUCUGCCCAGAGAACUGCUCAGGGAAGACUACCUACCUCUUCCUGCUGUUUGACCCAAGCACAGUAGGUCUUAGAGAGGGCAGAGAUGGCACGCCUGCUAUUGUACCGUGGCUUUCCACUGCAGAAGUCAGAAGGCAAAGGUUUCAUAGCCUGCAAGGACAACAGACUUCCUGGUGUGGGUAACAUACAUCCACCAAGUAGCUUACCUACAAUUAAAAAAUAGAAAAAAAAAACUGCUACAGGCAUCCUACAUCGAUGGCCAGUAGCUGGCCUUCUGUUACUGGAACCCUGAUAGUUGCUAGGUACCAUCUGCUGGAAUAUUCCAAGGUCAUGAGGCUCUCCCAAGCCAGGCAGUCAAGCCAAAGCCUUGGAGGAUGACAGCAUCUGUCACUGAACACUGGGGUAAAUACAAGAUUUCUUCAUUCCUUCCUGAGAUUGUCCAGAAUGAGCCCCACAACCCAGCCAGGCUGCCAGGAGCCCGAAGAGCUUACAGCAGAGCCUCUGGUUGGCCCUGACUGAGCUGCCAGCAACAAAAGACUAAGGACCUCCCAGAGUUCUCACUCCCUGUAAGAUCAGAGCUGCCUCAGAGCCCUAGACCUGGGCACUGCAUAGCCAGGGAGGACCAUUCUCUGGGCAGCCUAGCCUGGCCUGACCCCCUAGGAGCCACAGCAUCUGGCUUUAGAAGGGCUGGGACCAUGGGAAGAAAGAAGCACAGAAACACUAUGGGUGAAGCCAGGACUUGUUCCCUCUUAUUUCAAACAGCAUUUUGAAAAUGCUGUUCAUAUAUAUGUUCUUUGAUGCUGGGAUACCACUUAGAUCCCAAAGAGAUCAAAUACAAAGUGAAGAAUUUUAAUUCUAAUAAACAGCAGUACUUGCCUAUAUGACAAGUUAGUUUUCUAUGCAUAACUGAUUGUUAUUUCCCUCUUUGAGCAAAAUUCGAUGAGAGUAAAGUUCAAACAAUGCUCAUCUCCCUCCCUUCUUUCCCUCUAAUGUAAUAUGUCUUUGUGUCU